UGCAGAUGUUGGCUACGACGCAGCACGUACACUUCCCAUCACUGACAGGCAGCGCUGUGAAGCUUUUCCUUAAAUAGCGGCUGUACCCGUCGGCAGCGUGGGCACUCGUGCGUGUGGGGGCUUCUCUUGCACACUCGUUCUGCUAACCUGAAAGCUCUCGCUCACUUCCUUUCUAGAAGACCUCACAGUAACCCACCUCUGAGCUGAGGAGGUUUGAGGUUUACUGUAGCUGAGAACGAUGCAGCUGCGUCUUUAUUCCUGCUACAGUAAAAUGCACUGUACGUCUGCAGAGCCUUAUCGCUUGGAUGAUCUGACCACGAUGGGUCCAUGGCCAGUGUGUCUGGUUCUGCUGCUACCACUGACCAUGUGCUCCGACAGAGAAGCUACUAUUGUUCAAAGAGCAGUGGGAGAACACUUUGUGACUCCACUGUGCUCCAACGCUACAAAGCAAAACGACAAGAUAGAAGUUGUCGUUCUGGUAACGUGCAGCAUCAGGAGACUGAGCAGCAGAGAAGACUGUCGUCUGCUGUAUCGUCAUGAAAAAGGCUUUGAACAUGGAUGUGGCUCCAGGUUCAGACUCAAAGCAGAGAAUCACACUAUACUUCUCCAUCUGACCAGUUUAACAGCAGAGGACAGUGGGAACUACUCCUGUGAAUGUUCACGUCUUAGUGGAACAAUUAGGCUUCAAUUCAAUGUCACUGUGGAAGAGAACGAAGACCUCAGCACAGAUGACAACUUUGAAGUGCAGCAAACACUGGUUAUUAUUCUGGUAAUAACCAGUGUUUGCUGUGUAGCUGUAUUCAUCAUUAUAACUGGAUUGUUCCUGAGAUGUUGCUUUAGGAGAUCGUCACAAAGACUAACUGUUCUUCCAAACACGGAGCUAGAGGAACCUGAGCCAUAUGACACCUUUAUACAAAGAGAGAAUGAACUUUAUUCAGAUGUUGUAAUGACACAAAUGUACAUUUAGGAACACAAUUUAAACUUUAUAGUUCCUUCCAUGUAAAGCCGUUUUCCUAGAACAAAAUAAUGGAUAAGGUUUUAUUGAAAGUGUGUCUCAUUCUAAAAUGAGUCUGAAAGAAUAAAGAAACAUUAAUGUAGAGCCUGCA
RNAcentral lists this long non-coding RNA (1106 nucleotides) under Betta splendens (Siamese fighting fish). RNAcentral's name for it is "lncRNA (ENSBSLG00000003925.1)". Lineage: Eukaryota; Metazoa; Chordata; Actinopteri; Anabantiformes; Osphronemidae. The record is from RNAcentral.